This 148-nucleotide unclassified non-coding RNA is filed under the name uncultured Venturiaceae. Its description in RNAcentral is "sequence contains ITS2". Lineage: Eukaryota; Fungi; Ascomycota; Dothideomycetes; Venturiales; Venturiaceae. The record is from RNAcentral.
CAAACCUCAAGCCUUGCUUGGUGAUGGGCCCCGCCUGUACGGCGGGCCCGAAACUCGUGGGCGCCCCUUAUCGGACUCCAAGCGUAGCAAAACCCUCGCUUGCGGACGAUCGGUAGGAGGCCGCCCCGGACCCCCAAAUUUUAUCAAU